UGUUGGAAAAGGUUCUUUGAUUCGUGGAGAUUCAAAAUCCAUCGUAGUGUUGGUGUUUAUGAUAGAAGAUUGUAAGAGAGUUCUUGCCGUGAGGUUUGUACAAAGAUCUAACAUAGUGGAAAAUCCUUCAAGGUGUGAAGAGACUAUAUGCAUCCGUAGUUGAUAAGAGGAACUAGUAUAAUUACUUUUAUCAUUUAUUUAUUUUCACUUUAAUUUUCUGCAUAACAUCAUUCUAAACAAAGUGCAAUACAUUACUUGUUUUUGGAAAAGUAAAAAAGAAAAUGAACUUGCAUAAAAUACAAGAAAAAUCCAGCAUGUCUAAUUCACCCCCUCGUAGAUUGCACUAUGUAGUUACAAACUAUUGGCCUCUAUGACUUACACCAGCAUGUUGCCCGUGUGUUGCUCUACAGGUAAUGGUAAAAUAGGGAGUUCGUCACUUAUCUCGAGCCGAAAUAACAACAUUUGAAUCCAUGUGAGACCUUAUAGAGGAAGGAAGACAAAUAUCCACCUCCCUCAAAUCAAGGUUAGUGAAAUCCCCCUUUCAAAUUUCUUGAGAAGAUUCAUCACUAAUUCCCUAAGUAGAAAUAUUAAGGGGUUCAUCACCACUUUCUAUCGAACACUCACUAGACCCAAAACUAUCACUAAGUAUAAUAAAAUUGAGAGUGAAACGAUUCAUCACCACUUUCUGUCGAACCCUCACUAGACCUAAAAUUAUCACUAAGUAUAAUAAAAUUGGGAUUGAGACACUUAACUUCUAGGAGAUCGACAUUUAGGACAUCUGAAUUUUCUUAUAUUGGUGAUAAUGGAUAAUCUCCACCAUAAGGCUCAUUCAUUAUGUUUUGAGAAAUAUUUUCUAUAUUUUUCAUAGUAAAGACAAGAAAAUUAAGCAACAAAUGUAAAGGAAAAUGGACUAGAAAUGACAUCUAAGUAUGGAAGUGAACGAAGAAACAAGUAGUAGCAAGAGAAACUCGAAAAUUAGGAUGAAACUGAAACAGUGAAUCCAAAUAGAAAGGACGGGUGGCAAAAUUAGAGGUUACCACAAUUUAGCAAAGAAUAAUAGGGUUGCGAACAAACGUAAGUCUCAGUUGGGAGAGGUAACAAUUUUUUUUGAAACCUUUAUAUAAUGAAGCGGGAUGAAUGAGUCAACAGUGUAGAAUGAAAGAAAAUGGGAGGAUGAAAAAUCAACUUUCAAAUUUUACCUCGAAAAUAUAACGACACUUGAGUGCACAUGAGCACGGCAAUGUCCUUACCUACGAACCUAGGGCCACGUGUGAAGAAAACCCUAUGAAAUGUCUCAAUGAUUAGACUAGCAUUUAAUACAAUUGUCCCCAAAUCUCUUCCGACUCAGUUCCUUGAAAUACUUCUCGUAUAACACGCCAUGAUAAGUCUUGGGGCAACAAUUUUUUACCAAUCACAUGCUCAAUACGCAAAGGCUUAAUUGUCGCUCAUUAUAUAUAAAGCACUGUGUGAACAGUAAAAAAAAAUUGUGUCUCUUUAUAAUUCACUCUACUUCGUUUUUCAGUUGAAAUGCUAACUUUGUCCGUCCACUCCGUACAACUGCAUCGAAGCAGCAGUCUACACCACCACCUCAAGAAAUACUAUCAACAAUUUUGGUUCCCGAACGGAUAUAUAAUUCCAUAGAAUUCAUCCCUUUCUAUUGAAUUUAUGUGAAAAUUUUGAAAAAAAAUCAAUAACACAAAAAAAAUACAUACUUGCAUAACUUAAAAAAUCAUAAAAAGUAAUUAAGUUUGACAAAUUUACUAUUUUAGUUAAAAUACAAUAUAGUUAUUUCAGCACAUGUGUAGGGGUGCCAGCACAUGUGUAGGGGUUGGGGUGCACCUCAUGCCAAAUAAAAUUCUCAAAUUAUUGACUCCAUUAAUAUAGUUGUUUUCUAAUGUAGGUAAUCUAGGUCCAGAGAAGCCCCAUGUUUGGCCCAUUGUCCUUUUGCAAGUGCCUCAACAAACAUUGGAUAAAUGACCUUUUUUUGUAGAAGCAAAAUUCUAUUUAAAAAAGGAUGCAAAUAAGUCAAUUGAACCAAACUUAAGAGUAGUGACUUUCCUAGAGGCAAUGCUACAAUCAAAAGAACUUCAAACUUGGUGUAAAAUAAACUCCAUCAAAACCUAGGCAAGCAUAUGCUGCAGAAGGAAAGAUAUUAUAUACAUCUCUGCUGCAGAGAACCAAUGUUGACAUGGCCAAGUGAAUAUGGAAGCAAUAAUAAUACAUAGAAAGAAUUUGAAUCCAAUCUAGUUAAAAACAUUCUUCUAUAGAACCAGAAAAUGAUCACUAAUCUAUUUUUUGAGAGCAGAACAAUCCCUUUAGACAUCUUACAUCACUAUUGCCUUGCUUCUGGUUCUUCGGAAGUUGGUUGUAUGGAGUUAACAGCAGUAGGUUCGACGUGCCUCUCAAUAUCCGCGUUCCUUUCUGAUGUAUGUGGCGGCUCGUCGAGAGGUUGGCUCAUGGUGAAUGUAACGGGUCUCACGUGUUUUGUUUCGGACGAGUUUUUCAACGGCAGACGGCAUACUGGACAGGUAGAUUGUUUCCUCAGCCAUAUAUCAAUGCAACAAAGAUGAAAAGUGUGGCCGCAUUUCGGCAUGAUUCGCAAUAUUUCUCUUUCUUUGUAGUCCGCCAAACAUAUUACACACCUGUAGAAGCAAACUCGGUUAUUUAUCUAUUCACUGGUUCCUUAAUGAUUCGCAAUAUUUCUCUUUCUUUGUAGUCCGCCAAACAUAUUACACACCUGUAGAAGCAAACUCGGUUAUUUAUCUAUUCACUGGUUCCUUUUUUCAUUAACUUAUUAAUCUAUCACGGACCUGCCUAGAUAAACAACUUAUUUAAGCACUUAUAACAUCGUCGCUUAUCAUAUAAAAUAAUUUUGAAGAGUGUUUAUAUCAAUAGAUAAGCUCCUAUAAAUCGAUUCAACUAGAUCCUUAAUCUAUCAUGUAUCUGAUACAACAACAACCAAGUCUUACCCUGUAUCUGAUGUUAACGAAAAUAUGAGGAACUUAUUCUGUAUGAGUUAGAAUUAAUAAAAAGGACUUAACUGUGUAUCUUCAAUGGAACUGAAAGCCUCUUGAUUGAACUUCAAAGUGGGGAUUGCUUCAAGCAGAACUGGUUCAGAAUCAGGGUCAUUAACAUGAUGUUCUGGCUAUCAGGAAACAAUGAAAAAUCAAAAACUAAAUCACCAAAACCUGCUAAGUUACAAAAUUACAUAAACCAGAAAACAGCUUAUUUGCAGCUUAAAACCACAAUCUCUUAAUAUUCUAUGUAAAUAGAAUGCAGCAAAAAUUACAUAAACCAGAAAACAGCUUAUUUGCAGCUUAAAACCACAAUCUCUUAAUAUUCUAUGUAAAUAGAAUGCAGCAUUUGCAUCAGACUCGGAAAUUAAAAAACAACAAACAAUUGCAGAUUGUCAUACCCCGAUUUUGUCCGAGUUUAUUUUUGAACUCUUGUUGUUUGUUUACAACCAUAAAGCAUGAUGCACACACUCAAAGGCUUGAGAAUUUCACCAAAAAGAGGAGAGUAGUCCUUCUUGAUCAUCAUCUUAAUAACGAGGUUAUAUUAUACGCCAAGUCAUAAUUCUCAUGUCUCUUUAUAUUGUGGAUUUUGGUCAUAUUUCACUAAGGAGUCCAAAGUGCCCCAAAGGGUGACGCACGGUUUGGUUAUGAUGGUAUUUUCGUUUGUUUAUUGGCAAGUUUGUUGAUAAGCCAUUAGCAAGGAUGCGCAUCAUCAAAGUCCAUAUUUUAUUCAUCUUGAAAAAACACCCGACAGACCUAUCUAUCACUUAGUGGCAUUUUAAACCCCAUGCAUUUGGAAAGAAGGAAUGGCGCCUGUACUGUUUAAAAGUCCUAUGUCAAAUUCUAAGAAUGGUGCAUAACAAAAAGAAACAACUGUACAUGCGUGUGUUGGUUUACAUUAGGCAUUGGUGUUUAAACGCUACCCACUGAAAGAAGAAAAAUGUAGCCCUUUCCUAUUUGGAAUUCAUGACUAGAAUAGUUACAAUCCAUUGUUUCGAUAAUACGAGACAGUUUUCUUUCGGUUGAAAAUUAUUGAAAUCCAGUAUUGAGGGGGCAUAAACUAUAAAUUACACUGACAGAGCCAUGGCCCAAGACAUAAACAUUACGAACCAACAAAGUCAUGAUUAAAACAACUUGGUCAACCAACCACAAGAGUCUCAUGCCGUCUCUUGGUUCGGGAUAUUCCAAGGAAUCACCAAAGGUUGAAACAGGAUUGUAUUAGUUGAUGCAGAAUAGCAUGGCACUCGUUCUUGAGAAAUUCCAAAAGAUGCAUUUCUAGGCACGGACUGGCACGGACUGGAGCUCGGUUUCCUGAUAUUAAAACAGGUAACAUUAGCACAUCUAGGAAAGUUCUAGAUACGAGAAAAUUGUACAGCACAUUGCAGUUUGGAUACUCAAACAAGACAGUAUUUUAAGUCAUUACCGGAUGCCACAUCAGGAUGAGUUUCCACGCUUACCAGCAUAAGAAUGGCCGCUCCUUUGAAACAGAAGUCAAAACUUGGACAUCAUGUAUCAAUGCGUCGUGAACCUGCACUCACUGUCAAAUAGUCACAACAUUACCAAGUAUAUCAUGGGAAAGCAGUCACGCCAAGAUUCGUUAAAAAAGCAGCAAAAGCCAUUGAGUCGAAAUCAAAUGCGUCAUCACAGCUCAAAAAAAACCUUACACCAAGUAUCAUCACAACAGUAAGGUACAAACUGCAGAAAUACUCAUUGUGCAAGGUUUAAAACAGAUACCGACAUGUUACGGCAUCAUGAUGCAAGUCUAUCCAUCACAUAACCAUGCCGUCUACCUACCUGUCAAAAAACCAGCAUCAAACCAGCAUCUAACCUAACUAAUACCAUGCUCAGACCAACACCAAACGCAUAAAUUCUAAUGGCCUACCUCAUCCUUCAACCAAAACCAAACAUGUCCUACAACAUGUGAGAGAAACCAACCAUCAGGACUUAAUCAUUCAGUCCAAAUUCAGUCACAAAAUAAAAGCCGUAAGUACCAUUUUGCCAAGAACACUCCAAUGCAUGAAUAUGGAUGAACCAAGCAUGGUACGGCCGUCCUAACCCUGCUACAAAACGUAUGCCACAAGUGAAACGCUUGAGAUAAUAUACUGUAAUACAGGACCGAGAUCUUGUAAUUCAAGGCAUGUGUGAAACAUGAACACAAAUGCAAAUCAAACCAAUAUUCAUGAAUGGAAAUGCAUACUUACUAUGAGUUUUCAAGUCCGCUAUCUAAAGUCUGCAAUCAAUCCCAAGGCAGUGUGCUAUACCAAGCAUCACCACAACAGUAGGUCUCAGCAGGCCAAAGCGUUCAACCACAAGUAACAUAUGGAAAACAUGAAGCAAUCAGUUAAAACUUCAAGAAAAUUGCAAGAACACAUUGAAAAAAAACUGCUUAUCACAACCAAUAGACAGGGUAAUGCAGGAAAGUUUGAGUCAGUUAUAAGCCAUGAUGGACGAACCUUAAGUCAAACUGGAGUAUUGCUACUGUGCGCAUAUCCAUAACCAAAAUAACAGUAGACAAAUAUCAGUAAAAAAACCUGUUACAAAAAUCAAUACGUGGUUAAAAUAGAACAACUACUGCAGUGAAAAGUAAAAAGAGAGGGUUAUUGUAAAUUCACUACAGACAAAACCUUACCUUUGGAAGGACCACAUCAAUUUGGAGGACCACCAAAUCUGAGGAAAAAUCUUGCUAACGGAAUGAUUCUCCCACCAAUUUGACAGCUCAUGAAAGAGAGGAAAGAUUGAACCUCGUACAAAAACGCUAUAAAUAAGGACCUCCAGGGAUGAAGUAGGGAUCCGAAUUUCUGCGCCGUUACUCUGGAGAAAUCAUUCCAAAACCCUCAUUAAAAAGCUCCGUUUUGAACUUGUUGAGAUUUUCACACCGAAGCUCAACAAGCUCGAGCUAAGCCCCUGUCAAAACCGAAACAAACCCAAAUCGUUAAAGAGGAAGCGAAGAAGACGGAAAGUUCGAGAGGAAGAAAGAACCUUGAAGGACGCUAAGGAUCAUUUACCUCACCUUGCCGGAUUUGAAACGUCGGACUAGCUCCGAUUUGGUAUUUAACAUUUCCCCUUUGCAUGAUUUGAUAUUACCAUCUUGUUCACAUCGCCUCACAAAACGCAAACCCCGUGAUUAUUGCAUAAAAUUGUUGUUACCAUGGUUUUGAUUUUGAGCUGAAAACCCAGGUUUCUGAUUGUGUUUGUUUUCCGAAUCUGGCUCUUUGGAUUUUGCUGGUUUAAAUCUGGGUUAGGAUUGUUUGUUUGAUUAGGAAUUUGGUGGUGGUUUCCGAGUCUCGUGACGGCACCGCCGUGGUUGCACGGUUUGCCUCAACGGUGAGGUGGGUUUUGGAACAGAGGAAAUCGUUUUAAGAGAGAGAGAGUUUAGCGAAGGCUUUUUGUUUAUGCUCACACUUUGUUUUUCCUCACUAAUAAUACAUCUGAUGCUGGGAUAAUGAACUUUUCAAGCGUCUUUUGAAUGAUAACGUUACUGUACAUUCAUGUUUUAAUGCACCAUAUUUUAAUUAUUAUUUGUUUGGUUUUCAAUGCAUAGAUUAAAGGGAAUAUAUUUAUGAACUUGUCGGUUCCUAUGUUGAGAAAUGGAACGACUAUCUUGAAAGAUGAGGCUCCCGCCUCUUUUGCUUUAUU
Molecule: long non-coding RNA, 6650 nt
Filed under: Lathyrus oleraceus (garden pea)
Lineage: Eukaryota; Viridiplantae; Streptophyta; Magnoliopsida; Fabales; Fabaceae
Description: Pisum sativum (pea) long non-coding RNA (PSAT_LNC034446)
Source: RNAcentral